This 274-nucleotide long non-coding RNA is filed under the name Mytilus galloprovincialis (Mediterranean mussel). The record is from RNAcentral. Lineage: Eukaryota; Metazoa; Mollusca; Bivalvia; Mytilida; Mytilidae.
GUUGGGAUUCUGUGUUCUGACGUCGUUUCUCAUCUAACAACGUGUUAUAUUGUUUUUUAAUUUGUCUGUGUUCUAUCCUUAAUAUUACUUUUACUGUUGAAUUGUUUUAUGAAAUAUCCAUUCAACGUGGCUCUGUACUAGUACAUCCCGUCAAUGUGUUUGUAUUAUCUUUCAUUUUUGCUGGUGUGUUUUGUAUAUGAGACUUUUGUGUUUCGUUGGUUCUUAUAACGUAACUCUGUACUUUAUAAGAUCUUGCAAGUAUGUUAUUGUUCUA